Hypanus sabinus (Atlantic stingray) is the source of this 8359-nucleotide long non-coding RNA. RefSeq lists it as uncharacterized. The transcript is spliced from 3 exons. NCBI's taxonomy places the organism in Eukaryota, Metazoa, Chordata, Chondrichthyes, Myliobatiformes, Dasyatidae. The record is from RefSeq and is a predicted model, not a curated record.
UGGCCAGGUAAUUAUCACUCAUGAUUGAAAAAUAUUCCCUAAUUUAAUUCCAGAAACUUCCAUUCAUUAGAUGAUAAAACUUAAGUUUCCUUUUUCUGGUUUAGAGGGCUGUUGUGAAAUUGUAUUACACCUUAAUAUUUUCAAUUACACUUCGAAUUUGUUCUCAGAAGGUCUGUUUUAAUUCUCAUCUUCUAGGACUGGAGAGAAGAAUUUAUACCUUCUUUCGACCUUGAUGCUUCCAUUCAGCCAGGGAUAAUCUGCAAAGAGCUAAAUGAUAUCCCUGGUGCAUUGCUAAAGCCAUUUUUCAUACCCUUCCCUUUUCCUCCGCAGAACAAUGUUAAAGGAAGCAGAGAGAGAGAGAGAGAGAGAGUCAAAAGCCUCUUAUACCUGUAGCUUCACAUGUCAGACUUUGGGACCUUCUUAGGGCCAAGUUGGGACACAGACAAUUAAUGGAGAAUUUUAUUGUAAUUUAGUCUCUGCAUUUCAUCAGAAAUGAGAUAUUGUUCUCGAUGUUGGGGUGCCACGAUAAUGUGGCAGUUAGAGUGACCCUGUUAAAGAUUGGGGUGUUGGAGUUCAAUUCGGCACCGUCUAAUAGGAGCUCGCAUGUGUGCCCUGUAAACGUGCGAGCUUCCUCCAGGUGUUCCAAAGGCAUACCAGUUAAUAGGUUAGCGUAAAUUGUCCUGUGAUUAGGUCGGGUUAAAUGGGUGGCUUGUUGGGCCGGAAGGGCCUGUUUCAUGAUGUAUCUAAAUAAAAUAAAUAAAGUGGUCCAGAAACUGAGUAGAAACCAGAACUCUCAACUCUAACCGAGGCAUCACAUCUAUAUUGGAAAUCCCCUCCCUAAGCCCACGCACUCAUACCUAUUAUCAAUGUAAGCCCAACUUCAGAGUCUCUGAGGUAAUCCUGGAAGACCCUUCCCUUUACUCCUGGACCUUUGGUGUACAGUGUAUACAUUUGGGCAAGAAUCAGCAGCAUGUUUUCAAAUCUUUCUUUGUAACACGGUCAUCCAAAAUUGGGAGAGAGCCUCAAGCUCACUUUCUUUAUCAUCACAAGGGCGUGGACACUUACCCAAAGCCUGUUGAAUGGAGGAAAAGGCAUUGGAAUGCAUGCAUACAAUACUGUUCCUCCAGGUCUUUUGCAUACUUUUGCUGAGCAAACUUCAUUCAGGUAUUCAGUGCCCUUGCUGCCCUGUGAUUUCCAUCUUCAGGUCCCUUCAAAAGUUAGAGCUGGAGAGCUUAAGAUUGUUUAAUGUCAUUUCCAGUACACGAGUGUAAAGAAGAACAAAAUACUUGUACACCAGAUCCUAUGCAGCAAAAAAAUAUAAAGAAAACAAUAAAAAAACACAAUAGAUAUACAAACAUAUGAUAGUUUAUAUACAUAGAUUGAUUGUACGUCCAUAAAGUGACGCUAGGCACAGGAGUGUCUGUACAUAAGGUGACUGUCAGGAAGUGAUAAAUUAGUGGUGGUGAGGGCUGUGGAGGGGUGUGUUAGUGGGUGGAGGUGUUGUUCAGCCUCAAUACUUGGGGAAAGUGCUUGUGUUUGAGUCUGGUGGGCCUGGCGUGGAUGCUACGCAGCCUCCUCCCUGCUGGGAGUGGGACGAUCAGUCCAUCAGCAUAGUGGGUGGGAUACUUCAUGAGGUUACUGAACCUUUCCUGGCGCCUUUCUUUAUAUCUGUCCUUGAUAGCUGGCAGACUGGUGCCAGCGAUGCAUUGGGCAGUCUGGUAUAGUGCAGUUUCAGAACCAAGCAAUGAUCCAGCUUGUUAGGAUGCGCUCUACUGCACAUCCGUAGGCUGACGUGAGUAUGAAUGUGCAUUGUCCAGCUUUCUUCAGUCUCCUCUGAAAGUAAAGGCACCGCUGAGCUUUCCUGUCUAUGUGAACUGUGUUCUGAGACCAUAAGCGAUUGUGGAAGACGUGCACUCCCAGGAGUUUGAAACCGCUGGCCGACAUAAAGAGGGAUGUGACUGGUACGAGUUCCGGAAGUCAAUAACCAUCUCUUUCGUCUUGCUGACAUUGAGGAAGAGGUUACUUGCCUGGCAGCAGGCCUCGAGCUCCUCCACCUCCCCUCUCAUCGUUGCUGGUGAUAAGCCCCACCAGUGUCGGUUUAUUGGCGAAGUGAUUAGGCAGGUGCUUGGCCGUGCAGCCAUGUGCAAGCAGAGUGUGCUGCCUGCAGCCCUGGCGGGCAUUUGUAUCAAGGAUGAUGAGGAGGAAGAAGCCAUUGUACAUUCUAACUAAAUCCUGCCCUCUGCAAACAUAAACAAGAAAUUCACAGCAAACCUUGCAUAUUAUUUGGUUCGCUCUGCAUUUUCUGGUGAUUUCUAUUUUUCCCUCUCACUGAGCUCCUUGCCUGAUGACAUCCUUCCUUCGGCUGCCCAGCUCAAAGCAUGUCUGUUCCUUCUGCUGACUCCCGAACAAAGCAGAACAUGUUUGUUUUUGCUAUUUGCCAGCAGCAACAUGUGCAGGUGCCGCUUUAAAGAUAUUUCUGUUGCUGGCCAGGAAAUCCUACUCCAGCAUGUGGCCCAUCGUGUACUGAGGAGUGCACCAGCUGGGCUUCAGGUGAAGAGCCAGUGGAAAACCCAGGGGACGUCCCCGUGCAUGUGGAGAGUUUAGAUUUGUAGGGGUUACUGAUAGCAGAAUUUCAGUUCCUUGGUGACCAAGAACCAGUGACAGAUGCAGUAGCAUAUGGUUAGUCAUAUGAUGAGCGAAACUGUCCUUAAGUGAGGAGACGCUUGACUAUCUUCUUGCCUGCACAGAAUUCAAAUAAUGUAUUUUCUGCUGCAGAUAACCACCAGAAGCUCAGUACGUAGCUGAAACUUUUUGCAGAAACUAAUUGAAUGCAGUUUGUAGAGAACAUACGAUCAAACUUAUGAGGAGUGGAAGCUGCUGACAGAAAGUGAAACUAAAACAAACAAAACGAAUGUAAAUUAGAUGUUCCCUCAUACCCACAAAGUUGUAAACUGAUCAUCAAAAUUAAAAUUAACCCUUUGAUUUCCAGAUUUGUUUGCUGUCUUAUUGUAUUGUAAACUAAUUCAGAUUUAUGUUUUCUCUACAGAUACCUCUGCAAUGUUAGCCUGCGCGGAGCUUCAGAUUCUCAUGGAAUCAGAGGUUUACUGUUGGAAGGAAGAAGGAUGUCGCUCUAAAAGAUAGUGACUUAAUGAUCAUUUAAAGCCGAAUUCAGAAUUUUGAGCCAUUAAGAUUGAUAGAGCAAUGGGAUUCCAAACCCAAAAUGUUGUGUGUCUAGAAGAUGACUGUUCAGGUGAUGCUGUUCCCUUUCACCUGCUGGCUUUGUCUACCUAGCGAGCAGAUGGGCAGUGCACGCUGUAGUCAUGUUUCACCCAUGCUGGAAUCUGUGAAUGCUUAGCAUACAUCAGUUUUCAUGGCAGUUCUCCAAAGCAGCAUGUAUAUUAACAUUCUUUACUUUGUAAUUUUUUUAUUUAGAUAUACAGCACAGUAACAGGCACGUACCACCGAAAUACUGUACACCCAUGUGACCAAUUAACAUAAUAACAACAUAAGACUAUAAGACAUAGAAGCAGGAUUAGGCCAUUUGGCCCAUCGAGUCUGCUCCACCAUUUCAUCAUGGCUGAUCCAUUUUUCCUCUCAGCCCCAAUUUUCUGCCUUCCCCUCCCCAUAUUACUUCGUGCCAUGGCCAAUCAAAAAUCUAUCAACCUCUACCUUAAAUAUAUUUAAAGACUUGGCCUCCACAGCUGCCUGUGGCAACAGAUUCCACAGAUCCACCACUCUAAGGCUAAAGAAAUUCCUCCUCUUCUGCAUUCAGCUAUAUGAAGAUAGGUGGAGGGGUAGGUAGUGCUGAGGAAGCAAUGCGAUUGCAGCAGGACCUAGACAAAUUGCAAGUAUGGGCAAAAAAAUACAGAUGGAAUAGAGUGUUGGGAAAUGUAUGAUAACACAUUUUAGUAAAAGGAACAAUAGUGCAGACUGUUAUCUAAUUGGGGAGAAAAUUCAAACAUCAGAGGUUCAGAGGGACUUGGGAAUCUCAUGCAAGGUUCCCAGAAGGUUAGUUCACAGGUUCAGUCUGUGGUAAAAAGGCAAAUUCAAUGUUGGCAUUUAUUUCAAGGGGAACAGAAUAUAAAAGCAAGGAGAUAAUGCUGAGCCUUUAUAAGACACUAGUCAGGCUGCACUUGGAGUAUUGUCAACAGUUUUAGGCCCCUUAGCGCAGAAAGGGUGUAUUGUCAUUGGAGAGAGUCCAGAGUAGAUUCAAGAGGAUGACUCUGGGCAGGAAGGGGUUAGCAUAUGAGGAGGUCUGGCAGCUUUGGGUCUGUACUCACUGGAAUUUAGAAGAAUUUGUGAGGAUCUCAUUGAAACCUACCAAAUGUUGAAAGGACUAGAUAAGGUGGAUAUGGAGAGGAUGUCUCCUCUGGUGGGGGUAUCCAGAACUAGAGGACACAGCCUUAAGACUGAGGGACUAACUUUUAGAUCAGAAGUAAGGAGAGAUUUUUUUAGCCAAAGAGAUGUGAAUCUGUCGAAUGCUCUGCACAGACUGUGGUGGAGGCCAAAGUCCGUGGGUAUGUUCAAAGUGGAAGUUGAUAGAUUCCUCAUAGGCCAAGGCAUCAAGGAAUAUAGUGAGAGGGCAGGUAUAUGGGGUUGAAUGGAAUCUGGGAUUGGCCAUGACAAAAUAGUGGAGCAUACUCGAUGGGCCGAAUAGCCUAAUUCUGCUCCAACUUUUUAUGGUCUUAUGGUUCUAAAAGGACUCCCCUCUGUUCUAAGGCUGUGUCCUCUGGUCUCAGACUCCCCCACCAUAGAAAACAACUUCUCCAUAUCCACUCUAUCAAGGCCUUUCAACAUUCGACAGGUUUCAAUGAGAUCACCCCUCAUUCUUCUGAAUUCUAGUGAAUACAGGCCCAGGACCAUCAAACACUCUUCAUAUGACAAGCUGUUCAAUCCUGCGAUCAUUCUCGUCAACCUCCUUUGAAACCUCUGCAGUUUCAGCACACCCUUUCUAAGAUAAAUUACCCAAACCUGCUCACAGUACUCCAAAUAAGGCCUCAGCAGUGCUUUAUAAAAUCUCAACAUUAUAUCUUUGCUUUUAUAAUCUAGUCUUCUUGAAAUAAAUGCUAACAUGUCUUCCUCACCACAGACUCAACCUGCAAAUUCAACUUCAGAGAAUCCUGUACAAGGAUUCCCAAGUCGCCUUGCACCACAGUUUUUUGUAUAUUUUUCCAUUUGGAAAAUAGUCUACCUUUUCAUUUUUUCUACUAAAGUGCAUGACCAUACACUUCCCGACACUGCAUUCCAUCUGCCACUUCUUUGCCCAUUCUCCUAAUCUGUCUAAGUUCUAUAGCUUCUUUACUUUGUCAAAACUACCUGCCCCCCACCUAUCUUCAUAUCGUCUGCAAACUUUGCAAUAAAGCCAUCAAUUCUGACUUCCAAAUCAUUGACAUAUAACGUAAAAUUAAUCAGACCCAACACAAACCCCUGUGGAACACCACUAGCCAUUGGCAACCAACCAGAAAAGGCUCCCCAUUAUUCCCACUCUUUGCCUCCUGCUAAUCAGCCACUGCUUUAUCCAUGCUAGAAUCUUUCCUGUAUUACCAUGGGCUCAUAGCUUGUGAAGCAGCCUCAUGUGUGGCACCUUGUCAAAUGCCUUCUGAAAAUCCAAGUAUGUAACAUCAACUGAUUCUCCUUUGUCUAUCCUGCUUAUUAUUGGUUCAAAGAAUUCCAACAUAUUAGUCAGGCAAGAUUUUCCCUUAACACAUUCAUCUUUGGAAUGUGGGAGGAAACCAGGACACCUGGAAGAAACCCAUGUGGCCACGGGGAGAACGUACAAACUCCUUGCAGUGCCAGAAAUUGAAUCCAGGUCGCUGGCACUGUAAUGGCAUUAUACUAGCUGCUACUUUACCUCUUUGUCAUCUGAUUAUGCUCCAGUGAUAUUUUAGGACAUUUCUUCCAUUCGAAGCAAGUCUUUAAGUGCAUGUUGAAUAGUUCCCAGUCCUCCCUGCCCUCCCUUAAUUGCACACUGAUCUACCAAGCUCUUUCAAAUGGCAUGUUCAUUCCUGACAGAAACCAUCGGUUACUAAUCAAAAAAUAAUUUUUGAAUGUGUGGCCAUUCCUUCAUGCUCAUUCUUUGCAGUUGGUCCAGAUUUUGCUGGAGGAAUAGAUUUGAAAACUACUGGACUUUUCUUCAGAUAUCACAAUGGAGAUUUCAGACUUUGGAACAGGAGGUAAAUCAGCUCAAACUCAGUAUGAGUAAUGUAGGAGGGUGGGGGGGGGGGAGAAGUGGAAGGUUGUAGAACAGCAAUGUAUGGGAACAUUGACACAUAGGAAGCAAUGAAAAGAAACAACAUCAGGGAGGUGGAAGUAUCAAGGGUAACAUCCACGCUCAAAAACAAAAGCCACAGGGCUGGGGUAGGGUUUCAUAGGGAGAUUUGUGGAAGCAUCCAGUAGUGAAGAUUGAGAAAUCCAGAAAUUCAAAGUAAAUUUAUUAUCACUAUAUAUUACCAUGAGAUUAAUUUUCUUGCAGUCAUUUACAGGAAAAUAAAGAAGAAUAUAGAAUUUAUGAAAAUCUAUAAAUAACAAAGACUGACAAACAACUAGGGUAAGUAGUGGAAAUAAUAAAAAAAAUGAAUUGUUGAAACUCUGAAAUUGAGUCUAAACCUGGAAUUAACAACAUGCUGUAUAUAGUAAAUGUAAGUGGUUAGAAUGCUAAAUAAGUAUGUAAAACAUGCACAAACUGGGAAAAAUGACACAUAAAGAAUUUUGUAAAUAGUCUUACUGGGAAGUAUUACAGAAAAAAAAGUGCCACUUUCAUUAUCUGUAAGUAUCUGUAAGAGCUUGCUCACACUUGGCAUGAUACAUCAUUAGUCAGAGGAUGUGCUCUUUCUUCCAUUCACACUUCCUCAGGUCUCAGAGAGUGAGCUGCUACUUUCCCAUGGCCCCUUUUCUCUUGUGAGCUCUUUGAUUCUCUCCAGACAAUCCUGUUCUGUCUCUUACUUACUUUUUCAAGCCCAUUCUCUACCUACUCCAUACGUUCCAUCUCUCCUCCACCUGCUUCUCUCUCUUCCUCUCCUCUGCCAGAUCUUCACCCCUCUUCCCAUCCUAUGCUGCUGGUCAGUUGGUCAGGAAAGUUCUCCUUCCAGGGAAAAAAAGACAAAGAUCAGGCCACCACUGAGAUUAAAAAGAUACUAGUUCUUAAAUUAUAGAGACUUCUAUUUAAGUAGCAUAAGCAUUCCAAACAUAUUGUUCUACUGUUGUCAGUUUUGUGGUGUAACCCACACCAAGGUAACUGAGAAAUAAAUAUAAUGAAAAUUCCCCAUUUAAGUUUCUGUAGUAAAAAUACAAUAACUGUUAAUUUGAUAAGGUUAUUAAAAGUAUCUGUAACUGUCUCACAGACAUGUUUCAUUGAGAUGUUUGUGUUAUGUUUUUGUCAUAAAUUCAUGAUUAUUUUAUCAUCUUAAAAUAUUUUAUGUAAGAUUUUAAUUUAAUGUAGAGUGUAAUGGGUCACAUGACCAGAGUUUAAUAAAAGCAUGACUGUGGUAUUAUGGGUCAGAACCAGCAUGGAAGCACAGAAAGACAUAUGGUCCUCAAAUAACCUUAUUCUGCAUGUGGUCCAAGUGGCGCACACGGUAAUUGUUUUAUUUGUUUUAUAUUGUGUAUAAUAUUGUUGAUGUGCCUUUAUAUGGAUGCUGCGAUACUUUUUUAGAGAUUUAUUUGAUAUCAGCCCACUUCUGUUGUGCUAACGUGGUUGGGCCUGUUUAUCGGCGGACACUAGCUUGAGAGACUUCAAAAGACUGAGAGAUGUAUGUUUCAAACCUUUUAUGACCUUUAUUUUCUUGUAGUUUUCACGGUGCCUACUGAAGAAAGAGAGAGAGAAAUAAAAUAAAUCUUCAAGGACAUCUGUAUGUUGCCUGGCCACUUUCUCAUUGGACUGGUGCAGUUACAGUAUCUUACAUUCAAAUAGCAGAAUAACUUGAAUCAGCUUGUCAAAACCAAAAGUUCAAGCUUACAUUCAAGUACAUCACCUGAUCACCAUUGUGACGUUUAGCCAAAAUGAAGACUGGUACUCGAUGCAAAGCUCAACGUGUGAAGCAGGAGGAAAGGCCAGUCAUAGCUUGUCCGGGUUACUGUUGAAGAUAAGAGACGUGGAGAAAUGUCUGCCAUCCAAUUAGGAUGGUCGAAUUGAGAGGAGGUUUCUCUGGUGAGGGACACCCAGGUUAGGCUUGGCGCUUUUGUUCGGAGGAAAUGAAGAGGGAAGGUGCAGAAGAAAAGAGAUCUAGGAUUCGACCUGGAGCAGAGCCGUGAUUCACUGAAGCCAGGGGCGAGAUCGAUUGAGGAUCGCCGACUAUGGAGGAACUUCGAGCUCCAAGUUAUGCACAUUUUGACUGUUUCAUUAAAAUGGGCCUUUUUCUUU